UCCCUGGUGGCUCAGACAGUAAAGCGUUUGCCUGCAAUGCGGGACAGCCGGGUUUGAUCCCUGGCUCGGGAA
Molecule: transfer RNA, 72 nt
Filed under: Bos taurus (domestic cattle)
Lineage: Eukaryota; Metazoa; Chordata; Mammalia; Artiodactyla; Bovidae
Also listed under: 4 other names
Rfam family: tRNA
About the family: Transfer RNA (tRNA) molecules are approximately 80 nucleotides in length. Their secondary structure includes four short double-helical elements and three loops (D, anti-codon, and T loops).
Source: Rfam by way of RNAcentral